Molecule: ribosomal RNA, 460 nt
Filed under: uncultured bacterium
Lineage: Bacteria
Description: partial 16S ribosomal RNA
Rfam family: Bacterial small subunit ribosomal RNA
Source: RNAcentral
CCUACGGGAGGCAGCAGUGAGGAAUAUUGGUCAAUGGCCGGAAGGCUGAACCAGCCAUGCCGCGUGAAGGUCAGUGCCCUAUGGGCGUUAAACUUCUUUUGUGCGGGAGCAAUAAUGGUCACGUGUGGCCAGACGAGAGUACCGUACGAAUAAGCAUCGGCUCACUCCGUGCCAGCAGCAGCGGUAACACGGGGGAUGCAAGCGUUAUCCGGAUUUAUUGGGUUUAAAGGGUGCGUAGGCGGUGAGGUAAGUCAGCGGUGAAAUGCACCCGCUCAACGGGGGGAAGUGCCAUUGAUACUGCCUAGCUGGAGUGCGGAGGCCGUGGGAGGAAUGUGUGGUGUAGCGGUGAAAUGCAUAGAUAUCACACAGAACAUCGAUUGCGAAGGCAUCUCACCAAUCCGCGAUUGACGCUGAUGCACGAAAGCGUGGGUAUCAAACAGGAUUAGAUACCCCAGUAGUC